This 292-nucleotide unclassified non-coding RNA is filed under the name uncultured Weeksellaceae bacterium. Its description in RNAcentral is "contains 16S-23S intergenic spacer region". The record is from RNAcentral. Lineage: Bacteria; Pseudomonadati; Bacteroidota; Flavobacteriia; Flavobacteriales; Weeksellaceae.
GGACUACUGGGGUUUCUAAUCCUGUUCGCUCCCCACGCUUUCGUCCCUCAGCGUCAGUUAAAUCUUAGUGACCUGCCUUCGCAAUUGGUGUUCUAAGUAAUAUCUAUGCAUUUCACCGCUACACUACUUAUUCCAGCCACUUCAAAUUUACUCAAGAUCUGCAGUAUCAAUGGCAGUUUCACAGUUAAGCUGCGAGAUUUCACCACUGACUUACAGAUCCGCCUACGGACCCUUUAAACCCAAUAAAUCCGGAUAACGCUUGCACCCUCCGUAUUACCGCGGCGGCUGGCAC